This 443-nucleotide ribosomal RNA is filed under the name uncultured bacterium. RNAcentral describes it as "partial 16S ribosomal RNA". It matches the Rfam family "Bacterial small subunit ribosomal RNA", at positions 338 to 795 of the family's 1533-position model. The record is from RNAcentral.
CCUACGGGAGGCAGCAGUGGGGAAUAUUGGGCAAUGGGCGCAAGCCUGACCCAGCAACGCCGCGUGAAGGAAGAAGGCUUUCGGGUUGUAAACUUCCUUUUUGAGGGACGAAGAAAGUGACGGUACCUCAGGAAUAAGCCACGGCUAACUACGUGCCAGCAGUCGCGGUAAUACGUAGGUGGCAAGCGUUAUCCGGAUUUAUUGGGUGUAAAGGGCGUGUAGGCGGGAAAGCAAGUCAGAUGUGAAAACUCAGGGCUCAACCCUGAGCCUGCAUUUGAAACUGUUUUUCUUGAGUGCUGGAGAGGCAGUCGGAAUUCCGUGUGUAGCGGUGAAAUGCGUAGAUAUACGGAGGAACACCAGUGGCGAAGGCGGAUUGCUGGACAGUAACUGACGCUGAGGCGCGAAAGCGUGGGGAGCAAACAGGAUUAGAUACCCUAGUAGUC